UCUUUCCCUGGCUGGUCGAACUGCCUCUACAGUUGUCCCAUCCAGAAGCCACACACAGCAGCGGGCCUCAGGAAUUGCAUUCCUCGCAGUGACAGGAGAGGAUGUACCGGUAGGUGGCAGUGAGUCGCAUGCCCCCUGAGCAUCGCAGCCGCAGUGCCUUCAGCUUGGAAGUCUGGGGCCGGCAGCAGUGACAGGAGGAACGGAAGGGUUGCUUGAGGACAGUGCUGAACGACACCAAAGGCUCGGAGCGUGACGCCUGGCUGCAGUGCCCCUCGCACCUGGCCAGGAGCACCAUCUGGGGAAAGAAAAGGAGGUGGUUACUCUGUGGGCAUGCCACAACCUUAGCCAGCACUUGAACAUCUCCUGAUCUCUUCCGGAUCAGAGCUUCUCAGACUGGAAUGUGCGUGUGAAUCAUCUAGGAUCUUGUUAAAAGAGUCUCCAGCACCUUCCACAGCACCUGGACAUGAUAUUUCCCCCAGGAGUCAAUGGCAAAAGGAUGAAGAGAGAAGCAGACAUUCCAGUCCUGGCCCUUCUUCUGCACUGCCAGCAACUUCUCUUCAGAGCCAUGGCCAGGAGGCCGAAGUGCAUCCAGGCAUUCCCAUAGCGCUCCCACCCCAAGGCCUUUGCCGGAGAUGUUCGGGUCACUGUGAUGGUAUGCUCGUUCCUGCCAACCCGGUCACUCCAGCCCCGCUCUCGGCAGCCCAAAGGGCAGCUAAGCCAUGUGGCUGCUCCUCUCUUGUCAUUGGAACUCGAAUUAAGAUUGAAAACUCCACAGGCACAUUUCCAUCUGUGGGUGUCAGCUGCUUGGUACACAGUCGUAAGAAGGCCUCAGCCAGUUCUCCCGU
RNAcentral lists this long non-coding RNA (845 nucleotides) under Homo sapiens (human). Its description in RNAcentral is "NDP antisense RNA 1 (NDP-AS1)". Lineage: Eukaryota; Metazoa; Chordata; Mammalia; Primates; Hominidae. The record is from RNAcentral.